This is a long non-coding RNA of Leguminivora glycinivorella, 1138 nucleotides long. RefSeq lists it as uncharacterized. The transcript is spliced from 2 exons. The record is from RefSeq and is a predicted model, not a curated record. NCBI's taxonomy places the organism in Eukaryota, Metazoa, Arthropoda, Insecta, Lepidoptera, Tortricidae.
UAACAAUAAAAUUUCAUGCUCCUUAAUAAAGUAAUAAAUUUAGGAAUGCAAGGCGUAGGUUACGCCUUCUACCGCCCUCUGUCGGAAAUCGGCAGGAAGUCAUCGACCGUGAGCUGUCUGAUCCUGGAUCGGCCUUCCUCGCCAUCUAGCGUGGGAUAGCUGCACUCUUGUAUUCCUCUAUGGACUUACGUGGAUCAUAGUUGCCAUGUUGAAAAAUAGAAGUAAAUCGUCAUCGAGCGUUUGCCUUCCUUCCUUUUAUUCGUAACCAGACUUAAUUAUGGGUUUUUUUAAGCUCCGCGUUAAUCGCGAAGAGUUUAGUAUUAUAUUUUAUUGUUGACUUAAUUUCCAUUGAACGUCCGGAGCCGGCUGUUUGCGGUGUGAGCCGAUUUAGGCUUGGCAACACUAGUCCCGUCCAAAAUGGCGAAUGAGAUGGGAUUUCUUUUUGCCGGAGAGAGAGUUGAAGGGAUAUCGUUGGCCCAGGCCAAAAUCGGGCGCAAUCGCCCGUUUGAGUGAGUUUCAAUAGUGAUUCGGUUGUGUAUUUCUUUUUAGUUGGUUAGUUUCUAACGAAGCGUUGCAUAUUUUCCAGCCCCGGAAUCGGACGUGAAUAAAACCAUGUUCUGAUGGUGAUAGGCGACGCCCAGCGUGCCCGGAUGUCGAAAUAGGUGCAAUUUUGCCCUCUGCUGGCCCUUUCUCCAUCAACGGGUUCACGCCGCGUCGCCUAAACCUCGCGCCGGCCGCGAGAGCUUCCCCUGGUAUCCCGGUAACUUGUGGGCAGCAGAUUGCUGCUGUUCUACCUACUCCCGACGUUUCACCCCAAGGCUGCUGACGUGGCAGUUGUGGUGUUUCGAGGUCAGAUCUUUCCACGUUUACUUAUUGACUGAAUGAACCGGCCUUUCGGUUCUGGCGCCCUUCCGUGUAACUACCUUAAUAUAUAUUGACCGCUGUAUCCGUUUCUACCAGUAAUGAUAAUUUAGAGCUCGCUGACCCACGUUUGUUCCCUUAAAAUAUAAACUCAACAUUAUUGUUCUCGUGAGCUAGCCCUCGGCAAACAAUUGUUACCGUGUAUCUAGGAUAACAAAUUAGCAUAAACAAUUUAGAUUUUUUUCCUGAAUUCAAUAAAUACCUGGUUCCUCUUCAA